UUGGAACCUGCCCAAAGUGAGGAAUAAGCCACCGAAAGUGGUCUAAUACUUCAUAAUAUCCAUCUCGUAUGGAUUAAAGCUUUAUGCGCUUUGGGAGGGGCCUGCGUAACAUUAGCUUGUUGGUGAGGUAAAAGCUUCACCAAGGCUUCGAUGUUUAACUGGUUUGAGAGGAUGACCAGUCACACUGGGACUGAGAUACGGCCCAGACUCCUACGGGAGGCAGCAGUAAGGAAUCUUCCACAAUGGGGCAACCCUGAUGGAGCAAUACCGCGUGCAGGAUGAAGCGUUUCGGCGUGUAAACUGCUUUUAUCACCGAAGAUUAUGACUGUAGGUGAAGAAUAAGGACCGGCUAACUACGUG
Molecule: ribosomal RNA, 360 nt
Filed under: uncultured bacterium
Lineage: Bacteria
Description: bacterial SSU rRNA
Rfam family: Bacterial small subunit ribosomal RNA
Source: RNAcentral